AACGAACGCUGGCGGCAGGCUUAACACAUGCAAGUCGAACGAGAUCUUCGGAUCUAGUGGCAGACGGGUGACGCACACGUGGGAACAUCCCUUUCAGUUCGGAAUAACGUUGGGAAACUAACGCUAAUACCGGAUACGUCACUCGGGAGAAAGAUUUAUCGCUGAAAGAUUGGCCCGCGUCUGAUUAGCUAGUUGGUGAGGUAACGGCUCACCAAGGCUACGAUCAGUAGCUGAUCUGAGAGGAUGAUCAGCCACAUUGGGACUGAGACACGGCCCAAACUCCUACGGGAGGCAGCAGUGGGGAAUAUUGGACAAUGGGCGCAAGCCUGAUCCAGCCAUGCCGCGUGAGUGAUGGCGGCCUUCGGGUUGUAAAGCUCUUUUGUCCGGGAAGAUAAUGACUGUACCGGAAGAAUAAGCCCCGGCAAACUUCGUGCCAGCCGCCGCAGUAA
This 449-nucleotide ribosomal RNA is filed under the name uncultured bacterium. RNAcentral's name for it is "partial 16S ribosomal RNA". It matches the Rfam family "Bacterial small subunit ribosomal RNA", at positions 29 to 523 of the family's 1533-position model. The record is from RNAcentral.